AAGGUUGGGCAUGUUUGCUAGUCUACCUUGCCACGAAGCACAAAGGUUGACACACAAGGACUUUCCAAUUAUCCAGCAAUGGUACUGUUCCUUUACCCUCUCUUCGAUUUUGAGAAAGUAGUCAUGUUGGGAGUCUGGCUCUCGAGAUUCGGAGGACGGUGCCUCUUCGAUUUUGGAGCAAGCAAUCUUAUUGGGAGUGUUUUCUCGAAUGUGAGUAAAGGUUGGGCAUGUUUGCUAGUCUACCUUGCCACGAAGCACAGAGGUUGACACACAGGGACUUUCCAAUUAUCCAGCAGUGGUACUGUUCCUUUACAGUUGUGGGUAAUAAUAUGGUAGCUAGACCUUCAAAAUUUAUGUGUCUAAACUUUUGUUAGUGCUGUUUCUUUGCUAUUCUUUUACCUUUCUUGGUCAGAGCGAUGUAGUGGGAGCUGCAAGCUUCACGUGCUCAACUUUGGCAGAGAACUUUGGCAAAGUUAUUUGUGGUACCCAUGAGCUAUUGUUGCGUGUGGGAAGUGGGGUGAUUGAACAGUAAGAUUCAUGUGCUUUCUACUUCACCAGAAGUCUUCGACAGAAUGCCCAUAAUUUCUGCAAAGCUGAGUGUGCGUGUGACAGGUGCUGACAAGGCUAGAAAAGUAGGUGCCUCUUCGAUUUCUGAGAUCGGCCCUCGUGGUCUCUGAGCAGCCCAGCUUUUGAGAAAGCGAGCGCCUCUUCGAUUGAUUCGGAGAACGAUGCCUCAUCGAUUUUUGAGAAAGCAAUCAUGCUGGGGGUCUGGCUCUCGAGAUUCGGGGAGCAGUGUCUCUUCGAUUUUUGAGAAAGUAAUCAUGUUGGGAGUCUGGCUCUCGAGAUUCGGAGGGCGGUGCCUCUUCGAUUUUGGAGUAAGCAAUCUUGUUGGGAGUGUUUUCUCGAAUGUGAGUAAAGGUUGGGCAUGUUUGCUAGUCUACCUUGCCACGAAGCACAGAGGUUGACACACAGGGACUUUCCAAUUAUCCAGCAAUGGUACUGUUCCUUUACCCUCUCUUCGAUUUUUAAGAAAGUAGUCAUGUUGGGAGUCUGGCUCUCGAGAUUCGGAGGACGGUGCCUCUUCGAUUUUGGAGCAAGCAAUCUUAUUGGGAGUGUUUUCUCGAAUGUGAGUAAAGGUUGGGCAUGUUUGUUAGUCUACCUUGCCACGAAGCACAGAGGUUGACACACAGGGACUUUCCAAUUAUCCAACAGUGGUACUGUUCCUUUACCCUUGUGGGUAAUAAUAUGGUAGCUAGACCUUCAAAAUUUAUGGGUCUAAACUUUGUUAGUGCUGUUUCUUUGCUAUUCUUUUACCC
This 1316-nucleotide long non-coding RNA is filed under the name Malus domestica (apple). RNAcentral describes it as "long non-coding RNA (MDOM_LNC001490)". Lineage: Eukaryota; Viridiplantae; Streptophyta; Magnoliopsida; Rosales; Rosaceae. The record is from RNAcentral.